GGGGUUGUGGCUCAGUGGUAGAGCGCUCGCCUAGCAUGCGCGAGGCACUGGGUUCACCCCUCAGUACCA
RNAcentral lists this transfer RNA (69 nucleotides) under Ictidomys tridecemlineatus (thirteen-lined ground squirrel). RNAcentral describes it as "Spermophilus tridecemlineatus (thirteen-lined ground squirrel) tRNA". It matches the Rfam family "tRNA". Rfam says of the family: Transfer RNA (tRNA) molecules are approximately 80 nucleotides in length. Their secondary structure includes four short double-helical elements and three loops (D, anti-codon, and T loops). The record is from Rfam by way of RNAcentral. Lineage: Eukaryota; Metazoa; Chordata; Mammalia; Rodentia; Sciuridae.